GACGGGGGGGGCAAGUGUUCUUCGGAAUGACUGGGCGUAAAGAGCUCGUAGGCGGCUUGUCGCGUCGGAUGUGAAAGCCCGGGGCUUAACUCCGGGUCUGCAUUCGAUACGGGCAGGCUAGAGUUCGGUAGGGGAGAUCGGAAUUCCUGGUGUAGCGGUGAAAUGCGCAGAUAUCAGGAGGAACACCGGUGGCGAAGGCGGAUCUCUGGGCAUUACCUGACGCUGAGGAGCGAAAGUGUGGGGAGCGAACAGG
This 253-nucleotide ribosomal RNA is filed under the name uncultured bacterium. RNAcentral's name for it is "partial 16S ribosomal RNA". It matches the Rfam family "Bacterial small subunit ribosomal RNA", at positions 524 to 776 of the family's 1533-position model. The record is from RNAcentral.